This is a long non-coding RNA of Rosa rugosa (rugosa rose), 1571 nucleotides long. RefSeq lists it as uncharacterized. The record is from RefSeq and is a predicted model, not a curated record. NCBI's taxonomy places the organism in Eukaryota, Viridiplantae, Streptophyta, Magnoliopsida, Rosales, Rosaceae. The transcript is spliced from 5 exons.
UUGUGCCCGUAAUUACUAGUGGAUUCUAGUUCAUCUCAUAUGGCUUUUGACGCUUGACGGAGCCUCUUCCUAUUCUGUUCACGCUUCCCGCAUCAUUUAGUAUCAGAGCGGGUAUCGCCCGCUCCUUAGUAGACGACGAUCUAAGGAAGAAGUUCACCACCACCAACCUCAACGACGCUGGUCAUAGCACUACAAAAAAGAAUUGUUUUGGCUUCAGAAGUUUGCGUCAGCAAACCUUUGCCGUCGCCAAUGACCGCUCUAUUGCGUCGGCAAAAUUUUGCCGUCGCAACAAUAUAUUGAGUUUGCAACGGUGACGAUGUGUCGUCGCACUGGGGGUCGCCAAACUAUCUUCUUUUACAUCGGCAAAAUAUAGCCGUCGUAAGGAAUUGAAAUUUCGCGACUGCAUCAGCUCUGCCGUCGCGUUAGGUUCUAAAUUUGUGACGGAGGCUGCUGUUCCAAGUCACAUUUCUUUUUAUCGAGAGGAAAAAUAGUCUUUGAACUUCCCCUCUCUUCGAUAAAAAAAAGCCCUUACUCCCUCUUUCUUCUCUCGUGUGCAUUUCGAUCUGACCCAUUCCUGCUCCAUUCUGUUUAGAUUUUCCCCUUCAUCUCUUUGUUUGUCAUCUCUCUCGAUCUGACCAGUUCGCCGCUGAAUCUGCAAGCGCCUUUCUUGGGUAAGGUCAGAAUUUCUUCACCAUAUUUCUAUCAAAUCCGGCCACUUCACCAGUAGAUCUACCAACCAGAAUGUUUCUAUUAACUUCCUAUGUAAACCCAGCAAAAGAUCGAGGGAAGAAGAAAGGAAAAGGUGAGAUCUGAUUACAUCUGAUCAACUGGAUUUUAUUAUUUUUACUUCUGAUUUGUUUGGGUGACUGUGAAUAUCGACGCGGCGACGACGAAUCACGUGAGCGGGAAGGCCGGAAUCGCUGACCGGACUAGGCUUUAGGUACUUCAAAGGCUGGUGGACCAAUUCCCUCCUUUAAAAGCAUUUCAUUUUGUCCUUGACGACACUGAUGAGUGAACGACUAGACACUGACCUUUUGACAUUAAAAACCUUUUUUGACAAAAAGAUUCAACAACUGCAACUCCAGACCAUCCUCCUUCUGAGAGGGAAAGAGUCAUCGAAACAAGUAGAAGAGAAUUAUUCAUCUCUGAACCAGACAAAAAAGCCAAGAGGUACUUACAACUUUUGAAGACUUGGGGAUAUGGGUGGAUGUCUUUGCUACUAGUGAAGUCAGCAUUUGCUUGAGGUUGGACCCAUCAAAACUUUGGAGCAGAUAGCUUAUUCAGCAGGCAAGCGGAUGAUAUCAUGCUCUAUGUUGCUGCUUGGAACUUGACCAUGUUGUGGAAGAACUGGAGAAAAUUGCUGUUGUCAAUCUUCUUCAGCACCGAUCAAUAAUAUCUCUCAUUGGAGAUGUGCAGAAAUCAUCACUAAUAUUAGAGAAGGUGUUGUACUGUGUUUUGCCAAGUACUUAGAAAGCAUUCCUUGUUGUCUUUUGUUUUCUGAUUGAUGACAAGUGGUGUUCAAUUGAUCAAAGAGGUUUAUCAGCUAUAUAUGUAUUUUAAUCUGGUAUUCA